CACGUAGGCACCAAGCGUUGUCCGGAUUUAUUGGGCGUAAAGAGCUCGUAGGCGGUUCGGUAAGUCGGGUGUGAAAACUUUGGGCUCAACCCAAAGCGUGCACUCGAUACUGCCAUGACUAGAGUUCGGUAGGGGAGUGGGGAAUUCCUAGUGUAGCGGUGAAAUGCGCAGAUAUUAGGAGGAACACCGGUGGCGAAGGCGCCACUCUGGGCCGAAACUGACGCUGAGGCGCGAAAGCGUGGGGAGCAAACAGG
Molecule: ribosomal RNA, 254 nt
Filed under: uncultured bacterium
Lineage: Bacteria
Description: partial 16S ribosomal RNA
Rfam family: Bacterial small subunit ribosomal RNA
Source: RNAcentral